ACGGGUGAGUAAUGUCUGGGAAACUGCCUGAUGGAGGGGGAUAACUACUGGAAACGGUAGCUAAUACCGCAUAACGUCGCAAGACCAAAGAGGGGGACCUUCGGGCCUCUUGCCAUCAGAUGUGCCCAGAUGGGAUUAGCUAGUAGGUGGGGUAACGGCUCACCUAGGCGACGAUCCCUAGCUGGUCUGAGAGGAUGACCAGCCACACUGGAACUGAGACACGGUCCAGACUCCUACGGGAAGCAGCAUG
RNAcentral lists this ribosomal RNA (250 nucleotides) under uncultured bacterium. Its description in RNAcentral is "partial 16S ribosomal RNA". It matches the Rfam family "Bacterial small subunit ribosomal RNA", at positions 102 to 353 of the family's 1533-position model. The record is from RNAcentral.